AUGCACGCUGACAGAAUGCUUCACCCAUGCAAGUCAACUUGAACUUCGGUUUGGGUGGCGGACGGGUGAGUAACGCGUAAAGAACUUGCCUCACAGCUAGGGACAACAUUUGGAAACGAAUGCUAAUACCUGAUAUUAUGAUUUUAGGGCAUCCUAGAAUUAUGAAAGCUAUAUGCGCUGUGAGAGAGCUUUGCGUCCCAUUAGCUAGUUGGAGAGGUAACGGCUCACCAAGGCGAUGAUGGGUAGCCGGCCUGAGAGGGUGAACGGCCACAAGGGGACUGAGACACGGCCCUUACUCCUACGGGAGGCAGCAGUGGGGAAUAUUGGACAAUGGACCAAGAGUCUGAUCCAGCAAUUCUGUGUGCACGAUGAAGUUUUUCGGAAUGUAAAGUGCUUUCAGUUGGGAAGAAAAAAAUGACGGUACCAACAGAAGAAGUGACGGCUAAAUACGUG
This 453-nucleotide ribosomal RNA is filed under the name uncultured bacterium. RNAcentral describes it as "partial 16S ribosomal RNA". It matches the Rfam family "Bacterial small subunit ribosomal RNA", at positions 29 to 507 of the family's 1533-position model. The record is from RNAcentral.